UUUUUUUUUUUUUUUUUUUUUUUUGAGAGAGAGAGAGAGAGAGAGACCGACCUGUGUGGGGAUGGAGGAAGGGCUGAGGGAGAGAGAGAAUCUCACCCAGACUCCAUACCCAUCAGCGAGCCCAAUGCAGGACUUGAUCCCAGAACCGUGAAGUCAUGACCUGAGCCUAAAUCAAGAGGUGGACACUUAACCAACUGAGCCACCCAGGCGCCCUCAGAGCCUGUCCUCAUAACUAUGGUGAGAAGAGCCGAGACAGCUGUAGUUCCUCCGUACUGGGGGACGUCAGGUAGCAUAUGGGUGGAUUUUUUUGGCUACAGGCCCGGGAUCAGGCCAGAUGAUUGUCACAAUGCCAGUUCCUGCUCAAAGCACUCUUCUGGCUCAGAACCCCAUCCCGGCCCUUGAUAUGAUCACUUAGCCAUGGAGGGACAUGAUCCCAGUCUGUCCUGCCUUCCACUUUAUUUGCAGAGCUUAACUCAUAUUGGUGCCCAACCAGUGUUUGUUGAAGAAAUUAUUCAAUGGUUCAAAAAGCAAUGGAAUAAAUACAUGCCUGCAGACUAUCUUCCGGAUUCCAGAGAGUGGUCAGCUCAUGGGCUCCUACUGAUAAGAAGUGUUUUUGCUGAAGUUAUGUCUCUGUCCCAGGGAUUGGUGAACAGAAAGGAGGGGCCUCAUCCACACUAGCUUGUUCGCCCAGUCUGCUGGAGUGGUUAUGGCUACUCAUGAUUCCCUGUUUUUUUAGUGAGCUUUUGGAGCUCAAUACUCUACCCUAAACAUCAUGGUAUAAAUGAUAAUCAUUUUAUCAUUUCUCAUGAUUUUGAGAAAUGAUCCCAUCCCAUCAUGGCUGGUGGGGUGGUUUUUCUGGUUGUGGGCCAACUCAGCUGAUGUCUACUCAGCUGGCAGCUCAGCAGAGGCAGCCUGUUCUGGGAUGAUGGCUUUUGCAUCUGACAGUUGGCUCUGUGUCAGCCAGGGCAGUGGGCAUGACUCAACCAUGUGACUGUCAUCCGGCAGUUCACGGAGCAGUGGUUGCAGGGUUCCCAAAGCAGCACGAGAGCAAACUCCAAUGUACCAGUGUUUUUCAGCUUCUGUUUGUGUCACGUCUGUUAAUGUUCCCAUUGACCAAGAGAACUCCUAUGGGCAAGGCCGGAUACAAAGAGUAGAUGAGUUAACUUUCAUGUUAAUGAUAGGAGCCAUAAAGUCAUAGUGUGAAGGGGUGCAUCUAUCAGGGUAGGCGACAUUUGUGACUAUUCCCCACAGCCAUACCUGACCCUCUGGGUCCAACUGUCCAAAGAGUCCUUUUUGCUGGUGUCAUCUUCUGCAGAUGGGCCCUGUUUUCCAUCUUCCUCAUGCUAUCCCAGUUGAAGUUUCUGGCUUUGCUCAGAUCUGCUCCUGAUGCUCCUAUUGCAUCCAGUUUUUAAAUAUUCAGACAUCGACUCAGUGUGGACUGGGGUUUUCCCCUAGACUUGGCUUUUGUGAAGUCCUGACUGUUCUUGUGUGGACCAUUGUUUUGGCUUCCUUUUAUCCAUCUGUCCAUCCAUGCAUCCACCCAUGUGUGCAUCAUCCAUCCAUCCAUCUACUCACCCACCAUCCAUCCGCCCAGCCAUCUAUCCAUCAUCCAUUCAUUAUCCAUCCAUUCAUGCACCUAUCCAUCCAUCAUCCAUCCUCCAUCCAUCCAUCCAUCCAUCCACCCAUCCACCUAUCCAUCCAUCAUCCAUCCAUCCAUCCACCCACCCAUCCACCUAUACAUCCAUCUGUCCAUCUAUCUAUCCAUCCAUCUCUCUUCCUUCCAUCCAUCCUUAUGUUCAUUUGGUGCAUAUGAUUCCUCUUUAAGGGUUGUGUGGGCAUCUGUAUAAGAGCUUUGUUUAACAGGGAGACAGAUGUGAACCCAAGUGAAGCAGUAUGGGAGCAUCAAGGUGGAGGGGCUAAUCCCCCCCCAGCACCCCUUUAGCAUCCCAUACUUCCCUCAGCACUCACAAACAUGUUUGUGUUUUUUCCUGUGUUUCCCACUAAACUAAAAUUUCUUUGAACCCAGGGACCACAUUUGUCUAAUUUAGUGUUGUAUCCUUAUCCUCAGCACAAUGUCUGCAUAGAGGACAUAUUUCAUAAACAUUUUGUUGAGCUGAAUUGAACGGAAAGCUACAGAAAAGAGAUGUUUCCACUAGGCUCCAAACAAUAGCAAAUAACAUUGAAUCCACAGCAACUGUGAUUAUAGCUGGGGUUAUUCUCAUUUUAUAAGUGAGGAAACAGGUCCAGGGAGGUUAAGUGAAUUGCUCUAGAUCACACAGAUGUUAAAGGGAUGGAGCCAGGUUUCUGGUCGUAGAGCCUGCAUGCAUCUCACUAACAAAUUACUGUCAAAUAGGAAGAAAAGCUGGGGAAGAAAGAUCCAGCCUCUUUUAUUGAUGACUCACUCAUAAUUUUCAGCAGAUCCUUUCCGCAUUUCUGAAUCCUGCCUUGCUAUUCACUCAUCCAUCAAUUCAUCCAUCCUUCUUUCCAUCCAUACGUCCACCUAGUCAUCCAUCCAGCAAAUGUUUAAUGAACUCUUGAUUCUUUUUAUUCAUAGCUGAAUCCCCAGCACCUGGAAAUGUACCUCGGAUGUAGUUGAUGCUUGAAUGUAUGUUCUGGGCAGUUGGAAGGCAGUAUAGGCAUAGUGAUAAUUAGAACCUGGACUCUGGAGCCAGUUUGUUGUGGGUUCCAGUGCUAGCUCCACCGUAUAUCAGCUGAGUGACCUUGUACAAGUCAUCCAGCCUCUACCUUGUCUUACUUAUCUUUAUAUGGGGCUAAUGAUAGUACCUGUCUCGUGGGAUCCUUGAGAGUGAGGCGCACUGAUACACAUGCAUGUAUUGCGCCACUCACACAAUACUUCCUGACCUAUUAUAGAUCCCUUGUAGUGUUGCUGGUUUAUUAUCAUUAAGUAAGUGGAAUAAUGUAUUGAUCAAAUAAGACAAGGCCACUGCUGUCAUAGAGACUGCAUUUUGGAGACUUAGAUAACUAUCAAACAAAUAACCAGAUAACGAAGGCAAAGCCAGAUAAGCUAACUCUUCUGUAACUUCACUUUUGUUUCAAAUUGUUCCCUUGUUCCUAUCAUUGCUUUUUGGAUACCUGGGGGCAUGGAAGCCUUGCUGUCCUUUUACUUGUCUCCAUUAGAGGAGGGAGGGGACAGUGCCUCCUCAGUGUGGGGUUGGUCAUGGGGCGUCGAUGAGAAAGCCAAGCGGUGUCUUGGCGUCCCAAUACCUAGUCCAGUCUGUGUGUCCGUGCUGGCUCUGCAGACCUCGGCUCCUCCCUAGACACAGUCAGGUGCCUGCCCUCUGUGGAAUGCGCAGAAUGCAUUUCUGGCAAUCCCUGGGUAACUCACCCUUGUUUGUCACUGCUGCUAAGACCAUUCUGGAACUUGGGAACGGUACGCACGUGAAAUGUGACUGCAGACUUCGGCUCUGUUUCCCACUCUUCCAAAUGCUCUGGAGCCCAAGAGUGGAGAUUUCUGGCAUCUUUAAAUAUGACUGAAUUGCAAGUAUCCGCGGGUAAAGGAGACGUGGCCAUGGGGGUGUAGCUCAUGCCACCUGUGAGGGCUGUUGCCAGCAGUGUGAUCAGCAUACUCAGGGAUCCUGGGCGCCGGGAGCCAGGGUAGUAAUUUGUACCCCUGACUCCCUGCUUCCUUGCAGAUUGAUGGAUACAGAUAAAAUGCCCAACAGCAGGCACAUUAGGACCUAAGGCAGUAACUCAGGCAAGACUGCUACUCUUAGACUAAUGUUCCCUUUCUCUUGCAAAGAUUUCUGGAACACAGCUCAGAAAACCAAAGAAUUUCAGAAUUGGAAGGGAUAUAAAAACGCCACGAUGAAACCCAAAGCCAGCUUGAUCUAAGGUCCCUUCCAAUGAGACCUCCACUGUCUUUUCCCUCAUUCGCCAGCCACACUAAAUUCUCAACCAUUUCUAGAAAACACCCUGCUCUUUUUGCCUCUGACUUCUGACAUGCACGGUUUUUGCCUCCUGGACUACUGUUUGCAUGAAGAGCCUUUUAAUUGGAGAUGCCAGGAAAUCCAAUUCACACUGUCUUCAACAAAAUAAAAUAUAUCUAUUGACUCACAUAACGAAGGGUCCGUGGGUUGGUCUGGCUUCAGGUACAGUUUGAUUCAGGACAUAAAUAAUGCUAACAGGACCCAGCGUUUGGCCAUGCUUCUUGUGAGUGGCUCCAUUCCCAGGAUCUGUUGUUUUUCUUGGCAGCUUCAAGAUUCUUCUCUUGGAGAGUUACAAGAUGGUUCCAGCAGCUGCAGGCUUCACCUGCUUCUAGCACUGAAUGUGGUGGAAUCUGUACCUUUCUGCACCCCCAGUCAAUAUCCCCUUGUCUUUCAUUGGCUCUACUUAGACAAGGCCAUGGGAUGUCCUGACUGGCCUAAAACUCCAGAAGCUGUGGUCUCCCAGGGUCAUCCUACUCAAUGAGCAGUGUAGAGAAUGGAUAAGAAGUCUCCCAAAACAUAUUUCCAUGUUUUGGUAGAAGGAGGAAGGGUGGGUAGAAGGGACAAAGUAUCUGUGUCUUUAUUUUUGUGACUCCACUUAUUAUUGAUAUUUUUUCUUUUCUUUUUUUCUUUCUUUCUUUCUUUCUUUCUUUCUUUCUUUCUUUCUUUUCUUUCUUUUCUUUCUUCUUUCUUUUUCUUUCUUUAUAAAAAGAUUUUAUUUAUUUAUUAAUGAGACACACACACACACACACACACACACAGAGGGAGAGAGAGAGGCAGAGAGACAAGCAGAGGGAGAUGCAGGCUCCAUGCAGGGAGCCUGACACGGGACUUGAUCCCGAGUCUCCAAGAUCAGGCCCUGGGCUGAAGGUGGUGCUAAACCGCUGAGCCACCCAGGCCUCCUUCAUUAUUGAUAUUUUAUUUAUUUUUCCCUGUCUUCUCUCCAGGCUGACUUAAUCGCCUUAGCCUCCACGCUUCUCAUAGCAUGUGAGAGUAAGCUUUGUUUUUGUCAUAUUUUGGUGGUCCUUUGUGCAUCCCCAGCUGGGCUUUAGGAUCUCCCCAAGGGAACUCCUAUUGGAGUAGCCCCACCUACGAUUUUGUGCUGGGUAUAACGGUACGGAUUAGUAAAGGUUUCUUGAAUGAAAGGGUGAUAUCCUAGAUCGACCCUUAAUUUGAUGGCUGGAGUCCUCACUUUGAAACUCUAAAACCAUGCCUGUGCAUUCCUGGGGUCGCACGGUGCCCUAGCCAACUCCUCACAUGUCUUACCCUAUUCGGUGAUCGCCCUGGGUUGAACCAGGUCCCCCUCCAAAUGCAUGCCCCACGCAGAACUGGUGAAUGCCGCCUUGUUUGGAAACUGGGUCUUUGCAGAUGUAGUGAGUUGAGUCGAGGUCCUCCUGGCUUAGGGUGGGCCCUAAUUCAGUGGCUGGUGUCCUUAGAAGAAAUGAUGCAGAGACCUAGAAGAGAUGCCGCCGGAGGGAGGGAGGCCGGCCACGUGCAGACAGUGGCGGGAACGGGUGUAAUCACACAGCUGUAAACCAUGGAACCCCCCCGGAAACCAGGGAACAGCAAGGGAGUGUUUUUCCCUGGAGCCUUCAGAGGGAGCACCACCCUGCUUUCACCUGCCUGGCAGUCAGAACAAGGGAAAAUACAUUGCUGUUUUUUUUUUUUAAUAAAUUUAUUUUUUAUUGUUCAAUUUGCUAACAUAUAGAACACCCAGUGCUCAUCCCAUCAAGUGCUCCCCUCAGUGCCCGUCACCCAGUCACCCCAUCCCCCGCCCACCUCCCCUUCCACCACCCCUAGUUUGUUUCCCAGAGUUAGGAGUCUCUCGUGCUGUUGUCUUAAAGCAGCACCCUGUUUGGGGUACUUGCUAGGACAGCCCCAGAAAUCGAGCACUGUGGAGAUUCUUCCUCUAGGGAGUCGGUCCUGGUUCAAUAACUCGUUUCUCCAGCAGCUGCUGAUUCGGGAUUUAGCACGUGCCAGGCACUGGAGAGGUGCUGGGGACCCAGAUGGCGCAGGCUUUUGGGCCACCCAUCCCUUCGCCCUGUUCUCUGGCGAGUCCCCUCGUGGAGAUGGCUCCAGAGAGUGAGCUGAUGCUUGGGGAACAUGUCAGAUCUGGAGCCAGAUGGAGCUAGACUCCUCCUAUCCUUGAUCCUCACCAGAUGUGUGACCUUGGGCAGAGUGGCCUUUGACCUCUGUCUGUCUCCCUCAUCUGGAGUUGGGAUGGGGGCCGACUGAGGUAUUGUGUGCCAAAUAUUCAGCCCAUCGCCAGGCCUACAUCUGGCUGCUAUUUUGAUGGCUGCCUGAAGAAUUUGGAUGUAGAGGCCGAGUCUUUCUUUGUCAUGUCAGUUUGACCACAACCUGUGUGUUUGGAAGACCUCUCCCUUCCCUGGUUGCAUUUCCUUGGUGAUGCUCGCAAGUGCUAAUGUCUAUCAGAGCUACACCCGGACCUCUCACAGAAACGUCACCUCCCUUGCUCGAAGAGUUCUACUCCAAGUAAUGCAACCAGAAAGAUUCAACUUGCUGUGUGAGCCACGUCCCAUCGUAGACUGGUAUUGAGCUUGUAGGCAAUGAAAACCGGCCAGGUGCAUUCACACCUGCUGCCCCAUGAAGGGCUUGUCCAGAUGGUUGCUGGGCCCCAAGGGCAGGACCUCAUGUUUAUCUCUGUUACAUUUCAUGUUGUGUGAUUCAGCCUUCCGUACCAGCUGGUGGAGGUCUUCUGGGAUCCUGAUUCCAUUAUGUAGCAUAUUGCCUACAAGAUAAAGUCCCCACUUUGUAGUGCACACAGAUUUCUAUCAGCCUUUAUUCGAGGCCUCGAUAAAAAUGUUGAAUGUUGGGCCAAAGGCUGAGCCGGCCCUCCCCGCUGGCAGCGGUGAGGAAGACAGUCUCCUGGUGGUGUAUUAGGGCCCCAGGGGGUGGGCUCCGGAAAGGGCCACCAGCAUCCUCUGUCCUGUCUGCUUCAGGGAGAAACAACUCCCAGUGCUUUUCUGUCCCAACUCUUUUUGUUCUCAGAAAAGCCCCAGGCCACUGCAGAAUGAUUUGCGGGUGCCACUGUCUUCAACCGCUAAGCUGAGGUCCCUGGGGUUAACUCUAGACAUGACUGCAUCUAUCAGACCUUAAGGGGUCUGUUUGAUUCUGAAGGAUUCCAGAACUUCCUACAGCUUUAAGUGAUGUGCCUUUGGAUGAGUGCUGGACCCACAAUUUAGGAGACCACUGGAUAAUACGACUUGUCGCCGUAACUGCUCACCUUUAUCAAACACUUAGAGUUUUGGAGGGGCAGGCACAGUGCGCUGGCUCACUUGAUCCUUUCAACAAACUUUUGGGCUGGACACUAUGAUAGGGGGCCUCAGAAAGCUUAGACACGUUGUCCAAUAAGGUCAGGGAACUAACUGAUCAUUGGUAGUACAGUUAGUCAAACCCAGACCCGACUUCCCUGGGACUCCCGGCUACCCCAGGCUCCUCUCUUAGUGCCAGGCAACUUUUCUGUACAUUAACUCAGCAGGAUGUUUAUAUGAUUAAUCCAUUCAUGAAAUGCAUUUGCUUAAUGGCUGGUUUCCUUCACAAGACUCUCAGAUUCACUUGGCCAAGUACCGUGUCUGCUUGGCGUCCCCGUAGCCCAGCACCAUACCUGGCACUUGGCUAACACUCCAUAAAUAUUUGUUGAAGGAAGGGACGGCUUCACGCAAAUGUGCUUUAAUCCACUUCCAUAGGGUAGAAGGUGAACUCGAUGGAUGGUAUUUAUAUUGUGACAUGUGGCCGUCUCGGUGUAGCAGGGCUCAGCGUCCCAAAUGGGAGUAAACACUCUCCUCCCAGAGCACUGAGAAUUAAUUAAGGUUUGUGACACCCUUUAAAAUUCCUUACGAUAUAUGGCUGCUUUCAUCUGGCUAAGUGCAAGGCGGCAUUAUGGGGCCAUUACUGGGCCACGCUGCUAAUGGGCAUUUGUCAACCUCCUUCCCGUCCACCGUGUGCUAGACCCGUGCAUCCCCGGUAAUUGCUAAAUAACUCAUGGAGCACUUGAGUUGCUAAAUUAAUAGAUGAAAUAAUAGAAUGGAAAUAGGAACAGGCAUGUGGGAUGAAUAGAGCCAUCCCAACAAGGUUUUCCCUGCUCGUAUGUCUCUUAAAUAAAGACUACGCUUCUGGUUAGGAUUGCAAGAAUGGAUUUUUAUAGACUUUGGGAGAGUUCAGUGGGCUUGUGGGAGUUGUGGUGGCUAUAUUUGAUGGGUGGUCCCUGUAAUUCUGCCAGAAGUCCUGGGGGAUGAGGGGAGCGAGUCUACUCACACCGUGAUUUAACUAUAGACGGCUCACCCAUCAAGGAAGGAGGUAGGUGAGAAGAACCAGCUGGCUUUUUGAGUAGGAGCAAAAGAAUGAACCAAUAAUGGCUUUCCUGCAAUGAUUCAACUACGAGCAGGAAAUUUAGAGGCGGCUGGUCUCGAAGGAAAGAUAAAUAAGCAGCAACAGUUGAAGCCAGGACACAGGGGUGAGGACCCCGCUCAUCCCAUGAAAACCUCUUACAGACAAAGGAGUCUAACCCAUUCCACUUAGUGUCCAAGACCUUCAGCUUCAUUACGUGUUCACAUCCUUUUGCCUGUCAGUGCAAAUUAAAAUAAAUUUUGAAGAGGAAAACUUAACCCUAGAGUUUUGAAGUGAAAAAUUAAAUUAAAAAAAAAAAAA
Molecule: long non-coding RNA, 8612 nt
Filed under: Canis lupus familiaris (dog)
Lineage: Eukaryota; Metazoa; Chordata; Mammalia; Carnivora; Canidae
Description: lncRNA (ENSCAFG00000058512.1)
Source: RNAcentral